This 405-nucleotide ribosomal RNA is filed under the name Triticum aestivum (bread wheat). RNAcentral describes it as "partial small subunit ribosomal RNA". The record is from RNAcentral. Lineage: Eukaryota; Viridiplantae; Streptophyta; Magnoliopsida; Poales; Poaceae.
GCGCACUGCCCGUCUUUCGCCGACCGGCUCUACAACACCACCGGCGAGAACGGUGCCUAUGGCGUCGUCGACCCGUCUCUGGACAGCGAGUACGCCGACAAGCUAAGGCUCAAGUGCAAGAGCGUUGAUGACCGUACUAUGCUGUCGGAGAUGGACCCCGGGAGCUUCAAGACCUUCGACACCAGCUACUACCGCCACGUCGCCAAGCGGAGGGGCCUCUUCCGCUCCGACUCCGCGCUCCUCUUGGACGCCACCACCAUGGACUAUGUCCAGCGUAUCGCCACCGGCAAGUUCGACAGCGAGUUCUUCAGGGACUUCAGCGAGUCCAUGAUCAAGAUGGGCGAUGUCGGCGUGCUCACAGGGGCCGGGGGAGAGAUCAGGAAGAAGUGCUACGCUCCGAACUAG